RNAcentral lists this ribosomal RNA (492 nucleotides) under uncultured bacterium. RNAcentral describes it as "partial 16S ribosomal RNA". It matches the Rfam family "Bacterial small subunit ribosomal RNA", at positions 28 to 507 of the family's 1533-position model. The record is from RNAcentral.
GGUGAACGCUGGCGGUAGGCCUAACACAUGCAAGUCGAACGGCAACACAGUAAGAUCUUGCUCUUACGGGUGGCGAGUGACGGACGGGUGAGGAAUACAUCGGAAUCUACUUUUUCGUGGGGAACAACGUGGGGAAACUUACGCUAAUACCUCAUACGACCUACGGGUUAAAGCAGGGGAUCUUCGGACCUUGCGCGAUUGAAUGAGCCGAUGUCGGAUUAGCUAGUUGGCGGGGUAAAGGCCCACCAAGGCGACGAUCCGUAGCUGGUCUGAGAGGAUGAUCAGCCACACUGGAACUGAGACACGGUCCAGACUCCUACGGGAGGCAGCAGUGGGGAAUAUUGGACAAUGGGCGCAAGCCUGACCCAGCCAUACCGCGUGGGUGAAGAAGGCCUUCGGGUUGUAAAGCCCUUUUGUUGGGAAAGAAAAGCAGCAGGUUAAUACCCCGCUGUUCUGACGGUACCCAAAGAAUAAGCACCGGCUAACUUCGUG